UAAUUACUCCCUCUGUCUUAAAAUUCUUAUCUUAGAUUUAUUUAGAUGUAAUGUAUCUAGUCAAGUUUUAAUAUUUAGAUACAUCCAUCUUUAGACAAAGCUAAGGCAAAAAAAUUAAGAUGGAGGGAGUACUAU
Molecule: microRNA precursor, 135 nt
Filed under: Hordeum vulgare
Lineage: Eukaryota; Viridiplantae; Streptophyta; Magnoliopsida; Poales; Poaceae
Description: microRNA MIR1122
Rfam family: MIR1120/MIR1122 microRNA precursor family
Source: RNAcentral